UACGAAGGGGGCUAGCGUUGUUCGGAUUUACUGGGCGUAAAGCGCACGUAGGCGGAUCGUUAAGUCGGGGGUGAAAUCCUGGAGCUCAACUCCAGAACUGCCUUCGAUACUGGCGAUCUUGAGUCCGGAAGAGGUGAGUGGAACUCCUAGUGUAGAGGUGGAAUUCGUAGAUAUUAGGAAGAGCACCAGCGGCGAAGGCGGCAUCCUGGACUGGUACUGACGCUCAAGAGCGAAAGCGUGGGGAGCGAUCCGG
This 253-nucleotide ribosomal RNA is filed under the name uncultured bacterium. RNAcentral's name for it is "partial 16S ribosomal RNA". It matches the Rfam family "Bacterial small subunit ribosomal RNA", at positions 524 to 776 of the family's 1533-position model. The record is from RNAcentral.